This 74-nucleotide transfer RNA is filed under the name Candidatus Colisoma equi. RNAcentral's name for it is "tRNA-Arg". It matches the Rfam family "tRNA". Rfam says of the family: Transfer RNA (tRNA) molecules are approximately 80 nucleotides in length. Their secondary structure includes four short double-helical elements and three loops (D, anti-codon, and T loops). Lineage: Bacteria; Pseudomonadati; Kiritimatiellota; Kiritimatiellia. The record is from RNAcentral.
GGGAUCGUAGCUCAACUGGACAGAGCGCGAGUUUCCUAAACUUGAGGUUGGGAGUUCGAUUCUCCCCGGUCCCA